RNAcentral lists this ribosomal RNA (453 nucleotides) under uncultured bacterium. RNAcentral describes it as "bacterial SSU rRNA". It matches the Rfam family "Bacterial small subunit ribosomal RNA", at positions 340 to 786 of the family's 1533-position model. The record is from RNAcentral.
UACGGAAGGCAGCAGUGGGGAAUAUUGCACAAUGGGCGCAAGCCUGAUGCAGCCAUGCCGCGUGUAUGAAAAAGGCCUUCGGGUUGUAAAGUACUUUCAGUCGUGAGGAAGGUGUUAAGGUUAAUAACCUUAGCAAUUGACGUUAGCGACAGAAGAAGCACCGGCUAACUCCGUGCCAGCAGCCGCGGUAAUACGGAGGGUGCGAGCGUUAAUCGGAAUUACUGGGCGUAAAGGGCACGCAGGCGGUUAAUUAAGUCGGAUGUGAAAUCCCCGGGCUUAACCUGGGAAUGGCAUUCAAGACUGGUUAGCUAGAGUCUUGUAGAGGGGGUAGAAUUCCAUGUGUAGCGGUGAAAUGCGUAGAGAUGUGGAGGAAUACCGGUGGCGAAGGCGGCCCCUGGACAAAGACUGACGCUCAUGUGCGAAAGCGUGGGGAGCAAACAGGGAUUAGAUACC